This 612-nucleotide long non-coding RNA is filed under the name Vigna radiata. RNAcentral's name for it is "long non-coding RNA (VRAD_LNC017308)". The record is from RNAcentral. Lineage: Eukaryota; Viridiplantae; Streptophyta; Magnoliopsida; Fabales; Fabaceae.
CGUGGCUGGGUCGGAGGGACGAGGGAAGGAGUGUCUGAAGCUUGAGGCAACACUCUCAUGACUGAGAUCUUAAAUGUAGAUUUUGUGACAGUUGAUAAAAUAUAAAAGAAUUAAAAAUUCUUGAUGUGUAUUUUUAAGGAUUAUAGAUAGUUUGAAUAAAAAAAAUCAGUAUGAGAGUGUGUAUUUUUUAAUUAAGUAUUAUGUAUAUUUAUUAAAUUAUGUGUUUAUACACUACAAAAAUAAAACAUUUUAGAAGAGGAUAUUUUCCGACAGUUUUGAAACCCCAGAUAAUUUCCGGCGGUUUUAAAUUGGAACCGCCCCCAAACAUUUAAAUUUUUUAAUUUUAAAAAUAAUUUUUCUCCGCCUUCGUUCCUUCUACGUUUUUCCCCAACCCUAAUCCCUCCAGCCGCCUACAUUUCCCCCAAACACUAUCUUUAUAUUUUCUUCCAAAUCACAAUCUUCAUUUUGCUACACGACAGGCACCAUCUCAAUCUUGUCAUUCUCCGCCACCGCUUCCAGAAGUUUAAUUCCACUCUUCGAUGCUCUUCCUUCCUAGAAGCACCACAUGAACUCCAUUAACUCCGAUGAUGUCGUCCAGCUUCCUCUCUUCUC